Molecule: long non-coding RNA, 1027 nt
Organism: Cyprinus carpio (common carp)
Lineage: Eukaryota; Metazoa; Chordata; Actinopteri; Cypriniformes; Cyprinidae
Source: Ensembl
CUUCAGGUUUCUGUGCUGUCUAAAUGCAUCGUGAUGUUCUCAGGUUCUCUGUCUGCGUAACAGAAGUUUGUGGGACAGAUGACCUCACUAGAUUUCAUACUGGACGCUCUACAGGUAACAUGAGUAUUCCUGCACCUCGUGAGCCAGUGAGGGAGAAACUGAGGCCAUUUCCACAGUUCUCGCAGGAUCCAGCAGGCUCCAGAGCACAGUAAGCAGUUGUUAGCAGAAUCAGGAAUGCAGCGAGCUCAGAUUUGCCAGAACUGUGGUCGGGUUGCAUAUGUUUGUAAUUGAUUUCUUAAAUAUUUAUUUCUCCAUUCACAAUCUUUGUGUGGCUUUGGGUAACUCAUCUCAGAAUGCCACUCUGAGCAAUUACAAACUUCUGGGAUGGCCUGCCGAUGAAACCUGAGAUACAUGUGAGAUGUGUCAGCGGUGUGUGUGUGUGUGUGUGUGUGUGUGUGUGUGUGUAUGUAUGUAGUCUGUUGUGAGAUGAGAGAGACAAAGAAGAGAAGACCAGGCGAAAUGGAUGACAGUUACAUUCCUUUCAGCCAAUUAAUUGUCAUCUCAGCUGUUAUUUUAACUCUCUGCCCUGCGCACGUCCCCGCUGUUAUUCUUAUCAUUUCCGGAAGACGAGCUCAUCUGUGUAUGUAAAAGAGCCAGAUGACCUUCAGCCCCACAGCAAAGGUCAGAGUUCACCCAAUGUAUAUUUCAUUAGCAAACAGCAUGGAUUUGGAGAGAGAGACACAGAAAUAGAUCCAAAGAAAUCUCUGGGGAUUUUUCCAUACAAUAUACACUAUUAGCGCUAAUUAUUCAGCUCUCCGCUGCCGGUGAAAUGGCAUUCGACAUGCUUCUCUCGCACAGGAAGGACACUGUCAGUCCUUCUUCUCAUCUUCUGGACGACCAGAAUAAUAGUGAGAAUUAUUUAGUCAUAAGGCAGAUUAUAGACACUUACAUCAGAGGCAAAUAUAACUGCCUGUCUGCCUGAAAACACACAAAUAAAUCAACGUUUCCUUGAGAGAUUUGUCCUUUG